RNAcentral lists this ribosomal RNA (498 nucleotides) under uncultured bacterium. Its description in RNAcentral is "partial 16S ribosomal RNA". It matches the Rfam family "Bacterial small subunit ribosomal RNA", at positions 30 to 523 of the family's 1533-position model. The record is from RNAcentral.
AUUGAACGCUGGCGGCAUGCCUUACACAUGCAAGUCGAACGGUAACAGGUCUUCGGAUGCUGACGAGUGGCGAACGGGUGAGUAAUACAUCGGAACGUGCCUAGUAGUGGGGGAUAACUACUCGAAAGAGUGGCUAAUACCGCAUGAGAUCUACGGAUGAAAGCAGGGGAUCGCAAGACCUUGUGCUACUAGAGCGGCCGAUGGCAGAUUAGGUAGUUGGUGGGAUAAAAGCUUACCAAGCCGACGAUCUGUAGCUGGUCUGAGAGGACGAUCAGCCACACUGGGACUGAGACACGGCCCAGACUGCUACGGGAUGCAGCAGUGGGGAAUUUUGGACAAUGGGCGAAAGCCUGAUCCAGCAAUGCCGCGUGCAGGAUGGAGGCCUUCGGGUUGUAAACUGCUUUUGUACGGAACGAAAAGCCCCGGGUUAAUACCCUGGGGUCAUGACGGUACCGUAAGAAUAAGCACCGGCUAACUACGUGCCAGCCGCCGCCGUAA